GAUGAAGAACGUAGCGAAAUGCGAUAAGUAGUGUGAAUUGCAGACUUUAGUCAAUCAUCGAAUCUUUGAACGCACAUUGCGCCCCUUGGUAUUCCAUUGGGCAUGCCUGUUCGAGCGUCAUUUGUACCUUCAAGCUUUGCUUGGUGUUGGGUGUUUGUCUCGCCUUUGCGUGUAGACUCGCCUUAAAAUAAUUGGCAGCCGGCGUAUUGAUUUCGGAGCGCAGUACAUCUCGCGCUUUGCACUCAUAACGACAGCGUCCAAAAGUACAUUUUACACUCUUGACCUCGGAUCAGGUAGGGAUACCCGCUGAACUUAAGCAUAUCAAUAAGCGGAGGA
RNAcentral lists this unclassified non-coding RNA (336 nucleotides) under soil metagenome. Its description in RNAcentral is "partial contains 5.8S ribosomal RNA, internal transcribed spacer 2, and large subunit ribosomal RNA". The stretch from base 1 to 120 matches the Rfam family "5.8S ribosomal RNA", at positions 35 to 154 of the family's 154-position model. The record is from RNAcentral.